CCAGCAUGCCAUGUGCUAAUGUCAUGUACUGCUUCAUUAGUAAGCAUGCUUAGCAUUUACUUUAGAAUGGAAAUAGUCACCAUUUUAUGUGAUUACCCUUUAAAAUGUUUUAUAGGAAUAUAUUAAUAAAUAUAUAUUUAAAAAAAAACCCUGCUUUUCUCUACAUCAUUUAACUAUUUACUAGGAGGCAGGGUUUUCUGGUUGGAGCCUAGUACUGAUUAGAAACUCAUGUGGUCAUGGGUACAUUUUUUUUCUCUCUCUAGUAUGCAGGUUCUUCCUUUAACAAAUGAGAAUAUUAGAGUCUAUUAAUGAUUUAUUCCAGUUAGAAAAGUUUUGAAUCUGCACUGAGACAUCUUACAGGAAUCAUACUACCUAGAGGAUGAGGCUAUGGAAAGGUGAGAUGCACCUUAUGUAAGGAAAACAAGUAG
Dipodomys spectabilis (banner-tailed kangaroo rat) is the source of this 428-nucleotide long non-coding RNA. RefSeq lists it as uncharacterized. Lineage: Eukaryota; Metazoa; Chordata; Mammalia; Rodentia; Heteromyidae. The transcript is spliced from 3 exons. The record is from RefSeq and is a predicted model, not a curated record.